UACGAAGGGGGCUAGCGUUGCUCGGAAUUACUGGGCGUAAAGCGCACGUAGGCGGUCUUUUAAGUCGGGGGUGAAAUCCUGGAGCUCAACUCCAGAACUGCCUUCGAUACUGGAAGACUCGAGUCCGGGAGAGGUGAGUGGAACUGCGAGUGUAGAGGUGAAAUUCGUAGAUAUUCGCAAGAACACCAGUGGCGAAGGCGGCUCACUGGCCCGGUACUGACGCUGAGGAGCGAAAGCGUGGGUAGCAAACAGG
RNAcentral lists this ribosomal RNA (253 nucleotides) under uncultured bacterium. RNAcentral describes it as "partial 16S ribosomal RNA". It matches the Rfam family "Bacterial small subunit ribosomal RNA", at positions 524 to 776 of the family's 1533-position model. The record is from RNAcentral.